GACGAACGCUGGCGGCGUGCUUAACACAUGCAAGUCGAACGGAAAGACCCUGCUUUCAGUUUACUCGAGUUGCGAACGGGUGGGUAACUCGUAGGUGAACUGCCCUGCACUUCGAGUUAAGCCUGUUAAACUGGGUCUAAUACCGGCUAGGAGCCAUUUUUAGUGGGAUGGUUGGAAAGUGUUGUCGGUUUAGGAUGAGCUUGCUACCUAACAGCUUGUUGGUGUGGUUAUGUGCUACCAAAGCGGCGACGGGUAGCCGGCCUGUGAGGGUGAACGGCGACAUUGAGACUGAGAUAAGGCACAGAUACCGACGCGAGGCAGCAGUGGGGAAGAUUGAAGAAUGGGCGCCAGCUUGAUGCAGAGACGCUGCGUGGCGGAUGACGGCCUUAGGGUUGUAAACUACUUUUGUUAGGGACGAAGCUUUUCGUGACGGUACCUAGAUAAGAAGCCCCGGCUAACUACGUG
RNAcentral lists this ribosomal RNA (465 nucleotides) under uncultured bacterium. Its description in RNAcentral is "partial 16S ribosomal RNA". It matches the Rfam family "Bacterial small subunit ribosomal RNA", at positions 28 to 507 of the family's 1533-position model. The record is from RNAcentral.